This 222-nucleotide ribosomal RNA is filed under the name uncultured bacterium. Its description in RNAcentral is "partial 16S ribosomal RNA". It matches the Rfam family "Bacterial small subunit ribosomal RNA", at positions 109 to 334 of the family's 1533-position model. The record is from RNAcentral.
AGUAAUGCUUGGGAAUCUAGCUUAUGGAGGGGGAUAACUACGGGAAACUGUAGCUAAUACCGCGUAGAAUCGAGAGAUGAAAGUGUGGGGCCUUCGGGCCACAUGCCAUAGGAUGAGCCCAAGUGGGAUUAGGUAGUUGGUGAGGUAAAGGCUCACCAAGCCGACGAUCUCUAGCUGGUCUGAGAGGAUGACCAGCCACACUGGGACUGAGACACGGCCCAG